UGUAUGUACAUAUGUGUACAUAUAAUUUCAACAUAUCCUAACUGGCAAACAGCUACCAACAAUAUUAUUAGUAACGACAAUAACACUAAAUAUGGCAAUCGAUAUAGUUAUGGCAACGAUUAUGCUAGUGAACGAUUGUCGCCGCCACCAUCACCGCCAUGUCACUUAAAAAAUUAAACUGGCGACAUUUGUAGUCUAGCCACUAUGGUGGCGAAGUAAAAAUCAAUCUGCGCAGCCUCGAUUGUAAAGGUUGCCCAACUGUCUGCUAUGCUAAAGCGUUGAUUCUUUUUCAGAAACAUCAUAACAAACUAAAUGGCGACAACUGGCUCCGGGAGACGGCGACGGCGCACUCUAUUUGCUUUUCUAACUUACUAUGCACAUAUGUAAGUAUGUAUGUAUGUCGUUAUGUAUAACCCUCGCGCAGUCGACGGCUUUAAGGCUCCAUCGUCAUCGGCAGUCAACAAUUUGCGUCAUUUUUGGAUUUGAACAGCCGAGAAUUCAAAAGUAAUGUUGUGGAACUUAUGAAUGAACAUACUUAUGAUUGCUUAAUACUGAUAUAAAUGGCUAAGGGUACCAAUUCACUCGAUUUCUAAUGUGUGCGUUUAUUUCAAAAUAUAUUUUAUCAUAAUC
Molecule: long non-coding RNA, 630 nt
Organism: Bactrocera neohumeralis
Lineage: Eukaryota; Metazoa; Arthropoda; Insecta; Diptera; Tephritidae
Exons: 2
Source: RefSeq, a predicted model, not a curated record